GGAGGCCUACCCUUUUCACCUGCAGCCUAUCGCAGAGGACGUCGCUGUUCGCGUUGACCAAUAGGAGUGGUAGCCGUCACGGCAAGCCCCGCCCCGCGCCCUGCGUCGGGUUAAGAGGGGUUCCUCGCCAGCCAGGUGCUCGUCAUACGCCAUGUGGCGCUGCGGCGGGCGGCAGGGCCUGUGUGUGCUGAGGCGACUGAGCGGCGGACAUGCACACCACAGAGCGUGGCGAUGGAACAGUAACCGGGCUUGUGAGAGGGCUCUGCAGUAUAAACUAGGAGACAAGAUCCAUGGAUUCACCGUAAACCAGGUGACAUCUGUUCCUGAGCUGUUCCUGACUGCAGUGAAGCUCAGCCAUGAUGACACAGGAGCCAGGUAUUUACACCUGGCCAGAGAAGACACGAAUAAUCUGUUCAGCGUGCAGUUCCGUACCACUCCCAUGGACAGUACUGGUGUUCCUCACAUUCUUGAGCAUACCGUCCUUUGUGGGUCUCAGAAAUAUCCGUGCAGAGACCCUUUCUUCAAAAUGUUGAACCGGUCCCUCUCCACGUUCAUGAACGCCUUCACAGCUAGUGAUUAUACUCUGUAUCCAUUUUCCACACAAAAUCCCAAGGACUUUCAGAAUCUCCUCUCGGUGUAUUUGGAUGCCACCUUUUUCCCAUGUUUACGCGAGCUGGAUUUCUGGCAGGAAGGAUGGCGGCUAGAACAUGAGAAUCCGAGCGACCCCCAGACGCCCUUGGUCUUUAAAGGAGUCGUCUUUAAUGAGAUGAAGGGAGCGUUUACAGACAAUGAGAGGAUAUUCUCCCAGCACCUUCAGAACAGACUUCUUCCCGACCACACGUACUCAGUGGUCUCCGGGGGCGACCCACUGUGCAUCCCAGAGCUUACAUGGGAGCAGCUUAAGCAGUUUCAUGCCACUCACUAUCACCCAAGCAAUGCUAGGUUCUUCACGUACGGUAAUUUUCCAUUAGAACAGCAUCUGAAACAAAUUCACGAGGAAGCACUGAGCAAAUUCCAGAAAAUUGAACCAAGCACCGUGGUGCCAGCUCAGACACCCUGGGACAAGCCUAGGGAAUUCCAGAUAACAUGUGGCCCGGAUUCAUUUGCUACAGAUCCCUCUAAACAAACAACCGUCAGUGUUAGCUUCCUCUUACCGGACAUCACCGACACAUUUGAAGCCUUCACAUUAAGUCUUCUGUCUUCACUCUUGACUUCUGGGCCCAAUUCUCCCUUUUACAAAGCCUUGAUUGAAUCUGGCCUUGGCACAGACUUUUCUCCUGAUGUUGGAUAUAAUGGCUACACGAGGGAGGCCUACUUCAGUGUCGGCCUCCAAGGGAUUGCGGAGAAAGAUAUUGAGACCGUCAGAAGCCUCGUAGACAGAACGAUUGAUGAAGUAGUUGAGAAAGGAUUUGAAGAUGAUCGAAUUGAGGCUUUACUUCAUAAAAUUGAAAUACAGAUGAAACAUCAGUCUACCAGCUUUGGGCUGAUGCUGACAUCAUACAUAGCUUCUUGCUGGAACCACGAUGGGGACCCUGUGGAGCUCUUGAAGUUGGGAAAUCAGUUAGCUAAAUUCAGACAGUGCCUGCAGGAAAAUCCAAAAUUUUUGCAAGAAAAAGUAAAACAGUAUUUUAAGAAUAACCAGCAUAAGCUGACUUUAUCGAUGAGGCCAGAUGACAAGUAUCACGAGAAGCAGGCACAGGUGGAAGCCACGAAGCUCCAGCAGAAGGUCGAGGCUCUGUCCCCAGGAGACAGGCAGCAGAUCUACGAGAAAGGUUUAGAAUUACGGACUCAACAAAGCAAACCUCAAGAUGCCUCCUGUCUGCCAGCGUUGAAAGUUUCCGAUAUUGAACCCACCAUACCUGUCACAGAGUUGGACGUGGUCCUGACAGCUGGAGAUAUCCCUGUUCAGUACUGCGCCCAGCCCACCAAUGGCAUGGUGUAUUUCCGGGCCUUCUCCAGCCUGAACACACUCCCCGAGGAGCUGAGGCCCUAUGUGCCCCUCUUCUGCAGCGUCCUCACCAAGCUGGGCUGCGGCCUUCUUGACUACCGGGAGCAGGCUCAGCAGAUAGAAUUGAAGACCGGAGGGAUGAGUGCUUCUCCCCACGUGCUCCCUGACGACUCGCACAUGGACACCUACGAGCAGGGUGUGCUUUUCUCCUCUCUCUGCCUGGAUCGAAACCUGCCAGACAUGAUGCAGCUAUGGAGUGAAAUAUUUAACAACCCGUGCUUUGAAGAAGAGGAGCACUUCAAGGUGCUGGUGAAGAUGACCGCCCAGGAGCUCGCCAAUGGAAUUCCUGACUCUGGGCACCUGUACGCGUCCAUCAGGGCAGGCCGGACCCUCACGCCCGCAGGGGACCUGCAGGAGACCUUCAGCGGGAUGGAUCAGGUGCGGCUGAUGAAGAGGAUUGCAGAAAUGACAGAUAUCAAACCCAUCCUGAGGAAGCUCCCGCGUAUCAAGAAACACUUGUUAAAUGGUGAUAAUAUGAGGUGUUCAGUGAAUGCGACUCCUCAGCAGAUGCCUCAGACAGAAAAAGCGGUCGAAGACUUCCUUAGAAGCAUCGGUCGGAGUAAGAAGGAACGGAGGCCUGUGCGCCCACACACGGUCGAGAAACCUGUGCCCAGCAGCUCUGGUGGAGAUGCCUACGUUCCCCAUGGCUCCCAGGUCAUUAGGAAGCUGGUCAUGGAACCCACCUUCAAGCCCUGGCAGAUGAAGACUCACUUCCUGAUGCCCUUCCCGGUGAAUUACGUGGGUGAAUGCAUCCGAACUGUCCCCUACACGGACCCAGAUCAUGCCAGGAAAAGGCCCGUCUGUGGAAGCGGCGACCUGGGGCUGAUCUCGCCACGGGCGUCUUCAAGGAGCCUGUGUCUUUGCUGCAGACUCUACCAUCAUUGUCUGCCCUGCCUUCUGUCGGAGGUGGAUGUGUUCUAGAAUCAGCUUGAAUGUGAUGUUACCGUUCACAGUGGAAGGCAGAGGAAAUUGGCCCUGUUCCUAGAAACGCGCUUUAUCGGAGAGUUCUUAAAAUCCUUGCACGUUUGAUGACUGCCAAAUUCUUGCAUACAGAAAUUCGAGAAAAAGGCGGUGCUUAUGGUGGAGGCGCAAAACUCAGCCACAAUGGGAUUUUCACCCUUUACUCUUACAGGGACCCAAAUACAAUAGAGACGCUCCAGUCUUUUGGGAAGGCUGUCAACUGGGCUAAGUCUGGAAAAUUCACACAGCAAGACAUCGACGAAGCCAAACUUUCUGUCUUCUCAACCGUAGAUGCUCCUGUCGCUCCUUCAGACAAAGGAAUGGAUCACUUCUUGUACGGCCUCUCAGAUGAGAUGAAGCAGGCCCACAGAGAGCAGCUCUUUGCUGUCAGCCACGACAAGCUCCUGGCCGUGAGCGAUAGGUACCUCGGCACUGGGAAGAGCACACAUGGCCUGGCCAUCCUCGGACCCGAGAACCCGAAAAUUGCCAAGGACCCAUCCUGGAUCAUCCGAUGAGCAGCCGUGGCACUCGACUGCACAGGAGCCUGAGACAAUACACCUCUGAGCUGAAUAUGAAAAGUCAGAAAUGCUACUGCUUUUUCCAAGAAUAUUAUGUCAUUAAGUGUCGCCAAAGCCCUUGACUGGCGAGUCAAAAACUCAGAUCUGUCUUAAGAGUGACCAGGAAGAGGUUCAUUGAAAUAAUCAUGCAUGAAGCGCCAAAGAUGCACCAUGUAGAAUUUUUACUUUCUACUGGCAGGCUCCUUUUACCUCAUUAAUUCUAGAAUAUUUACUUAAGAAUCUAAAAAUAAAGGGCAACUCUGACUUAA
Pan troglodytes (chimpanzee) is the source of this 3794-nucleotide RNA transcript. It is a transcript of the gene named pitrilysin metallopeptidase 1, with no coding region annotated. Lineage: Eukaryota; Metazoa; Chordata; Mammalia; Primates; Hominidae. The transcript is spliced from 28 exons. The record is from RefSeq and is marked provisional.